This 25-nucleotide non-coding RNA is filed under the name Arabidopsis thaliana (thale cress). The record is from RNAcentral. RNAcentral also lists the same sequence under 3 other names. Lineage: Eukaryota; Viridiplantae; Streptophyta; Magnoliopsida; Brassicales; Brassicaceae.
AGACAGGUUAGUUUUACCCUACUGA